Molecule: ribosomal RNA, 1190 nt
Filed under: Staphylococcus aureus
Lineage: Bacteria; Bacillati; Bacillota; Bacilli; Caryophanales; Staphylococcaceae
Description: partial 23S ribosomal RNA
Rfam family: Bacterial large subunit ribosomal RNA
Source: RNAcentral
AUAAUCCUGUAGUCGAAAAUGUUGUCUCUCUUGAGUGGAUCCUGAGUACGACGGAGCACGUGAAAUUCCGUCGGAAUCUGGGAGGACCAUCUCCUAAGGCUAAAUACUCUCUAGUGACCGAUAGUGAACCAGUACCGUGAGGGAAAGGUGAAAAGCACCCCGGAAGGGGAGUGAAAUAGAACCUGAAACCGUGUGCUUACAAGUAGUCAGAGCCCGUUAAUGGGUGAUGGCGUGCCUUUUGUAGAAUGAACCGGCGAGUUACGAUUUGAUGCAAGGUUAAGCAGUAAAUGUGGAGCCGUAGCGAAAGCGAGUCUGAAUAGGGCGUUUAGUAUUUGGUCGUAGACCCGAAACCAGGUGAUCUACCCUUGGUCAGGUUGAAGUUCAGGUAACACUGAAUGGAGGACCGAACCGACUUACGUUGAAAAGUGAGCGGAUGAACUGAGGGUAGCGGAGAAAUUCCAAUCGAACCUGGAGAUAGCUGGUUCUCUCCGAAAUAGCUUUAGGGCUAGCCUCAAGUGAUGAUUAUUGGAGGUAGAGCACUGUUUGGACGAGGGGCCCCUCUCGGGUUACCGAAUUCAGACAAACUCCGAAUGCCAAUUAAUUUAACUUGGGAGUCAGAACAUGGGUGAUAAGGUCCGUGUUCGAAAGGGAAACAGCCCAGACCACCAGCUAAGGUCCCAAAAUAUAUGUUAAGUGGAAAAGGAUGUGGCGUUGCCCAGACAACUAGGAUGUUGGCUUAGAAGCAGCCAUCAUUUAAAGAGUGCGUAAUAGCUCACUAGUCGAGUGACACUGCGCCGAAAAUGUACCGGGGCUAAACAUAUUACCGAAGCUGUGGAUUGUCCUUUGGACAAUGGUAGGAGAGCGUUCUAAGGGCGUUGAAGCAUGAUCGUAAGGACAUGUGGAGCGCUUAGAAGUGAGAAUGCCGGUGUGAGUAGCGAAAGACGGGUGAGAAUCCCGUCCACCGAUUGACUAAGGUUUCCAGAGGAAGGCUCGUCCGCUCUGGGUUAGUCGGGUCCUAAGCUGAGGCCGACAGGCGUAGGCGAUGGAUAACAGGUUGAUAUUCCUGUACCACCUAUAAUCGUUUUAAUCGAUGGGGGGACGCAGUAGGAUAGGCGAAGCGUGCGAUUGGAUUGCACGUCUAAGCAGUAAGGCUGAGUAUUAGGCAAAUCCGGUACUCGUUAAGGCUGAGC